UUAAAUCGAAAAUUUAGUGAAUUUGAAUGUGAUUAUUUACAUGAGUAAAGGUAUGAACAUAGAUAUCAAUAACCUAAGAAAUUAUAAAAAAUUUAAAUAAAAUAGUAAGCAUAAAAAAUAAAAAUAUGGAGGUAUGCUACUCCCAAGUAUCAAAUCCAUCCUACUAUAGAAAGUGAAACUGCUCUCUCCCCACUAGGCCACUU
This 203-nucleotide long non-coding RNA is filed under the name Lathyrus oleraceus (garden pea). Its description in RNAcentral is "Pisum sativum (pea) long non-coding RNA (PSAT_LNC023620)". Lineage: Eukaryota; Viridiplantae; Streptophyta; Magnoliopsida; Fabales; Fabaceae. The record is from RNAcentral.